RNAcentral lists this ribosomal RNA (440 nucleotides) under uncultured Pseudomonas sp. RNAcentral's name for it is "bacterial SSU rRNA". It matches the Rfam family "Bacterial small subunit ribosomal RNA", at positions 358 to 790 of the family's 1533-position model. The record is from RNAcentral. Lineage: Bacteria; Pseudomonadati; Pseudomonadota; Gammaproteobacteria; Pseudomonadales; Pseudomonadaceae.
GGAAUAUUGGACAAUGGGCGAAAGCCUGAUCCAGCCAUGCCGCGUGUGUGAAGAAGGUCUUCGGAUUGUAAAGCACUUUAAGUUGGGAGGAAGGGCAGUUACCUAAUACGUGAUUGUUUUGACGUUACCGACAGAAUAAGCACCGGCUAACUCUGUGCCAGCAGCCGCGGUAAUACAGAGGGUGCAAGCGUUAAUCGGAAUUACUGGGCGUAAAGCGCGCGUAGGUGGUUUGUUAAGUUGGAUGUGAAAUCCCCGGGCUCAACCUGGGAACUGCAUUCAAAACUGACUGACUAGAGUAUGGUAGAGGGUGGUGGAAUUUCCUGUGUAGCGGUGAAAUGCGUAGAUAUAGGAAGGAACACCAGUGGCGAAGGCGACCACCUGGACUAAUACUGACACUGAGGUGCGAAAGCGUGGGGAGCAAACAGGAUUAGAUACCCCAG